Molecule: ribosomal RNA, 292 nt
Filed under: uncultured Aquabacterium sp.
Lineage: Bacteria; Pseudomonadati; Pseudomonadota; Betaproteobacteria; Burkholderiales; Sphaerotilaceae
Description: partial 16S ribosomal RNA
Rfam family: Bacterial small subunit ribosomal RNA
Source: RNAcentral
GUGUCAGCAGCCGCGGUAAUACGUAGGGUGCGAGCGUUAAUCGGAAUUACUGGGCGUAAAGCGUGCGCAGGCGGCUUUGCAAGACAGAUGUGAAAUCCCCGGGCUCAACCUGGGAACUGCAUUUGUGACUGCAAGGCUAGAGUACGGCAGAGGGGGAUGGAAUUCCGCGUGUAGCAGUGAAAUGCGUAGAUAUGCGGAGGAACACCGAUGGCGAAGGCAAUCCCCUGGGAUAACACUGAUGCUCAUGCACGAAAGCGUGGGGAGCAAACAGGAUUAGAAACCCGAGUAGUCC